GAUGAACGCUGACAGAAUGCUUAACACAUGCAAGUCUACCUGAACUUCGGUUUGGGUGUCGGACGGGUGAGUAACGCGUAAAGAACUUUCCUCACAGUUAGGGACAAUAUUUUUUAACGAAUGCUAAUACCUGAUAUUAUGAUUUUAGAGCAUCUUAGAAUUAUGAAAGCUAUCUGCGCUGUGUGAGAGCUUUGCGUCCUAUUAGCUCGUUGGAGAGGUAACGGCUCACCAAGGCGAUGAUGGGUAGCCGGCCUGAGAGGGUGAACGGCCACAAGGGGACUGAGACACGGCCCUUACUCAAACGGGAGGAAGCAGUGGGGAACAUUGGAAAACGGACCAAAAGUGUGAUCCAGCACUUCUGUGUGCAAGAUGACGUUUUUGGGAAUGAAAAGCGCUUGCAGUUGAGAAGAAAAAAAUGACGGUACCAACAGAAGAAGCAACGGCUAAAUACGUG
RNAcentral lists this ribosomal RNA (454 nucleotides) under uncultured bacterium. RNAcentral's name for it is "partial 16S ribosomal RNA". It matches the Rfam family "Bacterial small subunit ribosomal RNA", at positions 28 to 507 of the family's 1533-position model. The record is from RNAcentral.